CAGUCGCCACGGUAAUACGUAGGUGGCAAGCGUUGUCCGGAAUUAUUGGGCGUAAAGCGCGCGCAGGCGGAUAGGUCAGUCUGUCUUAAAAGUUCGGGGCUUAACCCCGUGAUGAGAUGGAAACUGCCAAUCUAGAGUAUCGGAGAGGAAAGUGGAAUUCCUAGUGUAGCGGUGAAAUGCGUAGAUAUUGGGAGGAACACCAGUGGCGAAGGCGGCUUUCUGGACUGCAACUGACGCUGAGGCUCGAAAGCCAGGGGAGCGAACGGGAUUAGAUACCCCUGUAGUCCCUGUCUCUUAUACA
RNAcentral lists this ribosomal RNA (301 nucleotides) under uncultured bacterium. RNAcentral describes it as "partial 16S ribosomal RNA". It matches the Rfam family "Bacterial small subunit ribosomal RNA", at positions 509 to 809 of the family's 1533-position model. The record is from RNAcentral.